CACAACGGCUAAAAAAAACUUUACUCUUCGUAUUAUUUACCCAAAUAUUCGAAAUUCAAAAUGAGUGAUCAGUCAGACGAUUGACCACACAUUGACACAUAUUGAAGCACCCCCUCUUUCACAUCUCUAUUGUUAAAGUUAAAAUAAGAAUAUGAAAUAGAUCUCCAAAUUACCCAUCUUCUAGAGAAUGUAGAUUUUGAGAGAAAAUCCAAAUUAACUUCCUAACUUUCAUUACAAAAAUAAUAUUGGAGAAGUAGAAAUUCAUGGUUUUUUUUUCUUUUCUCGAUCGUUUUUCAGUUCAAAGGGUUAGUGUUUAUUAUAAAUUAUGGGUUUGAGUUAUACUAGUUCAAAUUUCGUUAGAUAUACACUUAUGAUCCCCGACAAUCUGACUGUCUUCCUCCAAAAAUCACCCAGCCAAAAGUGUGUGGUCACGUCAAAUCGAGAGAUACCAUCGUUGCUUCAGCAACAACUUAAAACCUUAGAAUUUGAACACUCUCGCAAUUCGUCCAACUACGAUGCUCAUGUUCAGUAAAUAAAAUUGCUUAGGAAAAUUGGGGAGAUUGAUACACUCAAGCGAAGAGAUUUGAUGAGUGUUCUCCCUUAAUACCCACAAAUGUGGCAAGAGUGGGCUAAAUAUGAAACUACUUUGUCUUCUGGGAAACCCGUCUAAAGUUGAAAAUUGCCUCAGCAUACAUUUCAGCCUGGUCAACUCAAGCUAUCAGAUGGAGCUCAGAGGCCUUUAUCAGAAUGAAGCCUUGAAAACAGAAUGCCUAAUUUGAUCAUAUGAGCAUGGUGGUGCAUACAUCAUAGCAAGACUUAAUGGGAUAAAACACUCAAUGAUUUAAUUUUGAUAUUUUUUUUCUUAGUUUAAUUAGUGACAGUUAAUUGUGUAAUUUUCUCUAAGGGUAACAAUGUACAAUUCUUCAAUUUAUAUUGACAAAAUUCUA
This is an RNA transcript of Chenopodium quinoa (quinoa), 947 nucleotides long. RefSeq lists it as uncharacterized. NCBI's taxonomy places the organism in Eukaryota, Viridiplantae, Streptophyta, Magnoliopsida, Caryophyllales, Amaranthaceae. The record is from RefSeq and is a predicted model, not a curated record. The transcript is spliced from 3 exons.